CGUAUGGUGUCUGGCAAAUUGUUUGACCAGAUAGCGAUACGGCCUAACGAGGU
Molecule: non-coding RNA, 53 nt
Submitted as: unclassified sequences
Source: Rfam